UGGGCACCCAAGGCAGGACUCAGGACAGUCCCCAUCAUGGCCUGGUCCCCUCUCCUCCUCACCCUCCUGGCUCACUGCACAGGGUCCUGGGCCCAGUCUGUGCUGACUCAGCCACCAUCGAUGUCUGGAUCCCCGCGGGAGACGGUCACCAUCUCCUGCUUGGGAAGCAGCAGCAACAUCGGGGGUGGGUAUAGUGUGCAGUGGUACCAGCAGCCCCAAGGAAUGGCCCCUAAACUCAUUAUCUAUGGUAACAGCAAUAGACCCUCAGGGGUCCCUGACAGAUUCUCUGGCUCCAAGUCUGGCAGCUCAGGCUCCCUGACCAUCACGGGGCUCCAGAGUGAAGAUGAGGCUGAUUAUUACUGUCAGUCCUAUGACAGCAGCCUGCGUGCUCCCACAGUGCUCCAGGCCCAGGGGGAAGUGAGACAAAAACCCCCUUCUCACCCCUCAAGAGAGUGA
This is a non-coding RNA of Otolemur garnettii (small-eared galago), 456 nucleotides long. The record is from the annotation of a RefSeq genome assembly. Lineage: Eukaryota; Metazoa; Chordata; Mammalia; Primates; Galagidae.